Molecule: ribosomal RNA, 281 nt
Filed under: uncultured bacterium
Lineage: Bacteria
Description: partial 16S ribosomal RNA
Rfam family: Bacterial small subunit ribosomal RNA
Source: RNAcentral
GAUGAACGCUAGCGGCAGGCCUAAUACAUGCAAGUCGGACGGGAUUCGGGAGCUUGCUUCCGAUGAGAGUGGCGCACGGGUGCGUAACACGUAUGUAACCUACCUUUAUCAGGGGGAUAGCCUCUCGAAAGAGAGAUUAAGCCCGCAUAAUAUGAAGACACAGCAUUGUGAUUUCAUCAAAUAUUUAUAGGAUAGAGAUGGGCAUGCGGAACAUUAGCUAGUUGGUAAGGUAAUGGCUUACCAAGGCUACGAUGUUUAGGGGAUCUGAGAGGAUGACCCCC